ACAAUAAGAAUACAUAUUUCUAUUCCACAUUUUAAAGGCUCGAUAUGAUGUCAGAAUAGGUAUAGAGGAAACAAGAAAUACAUAACAUAAAGAAUGUGAGGUGUGUUGAAACACACUCUUAAACGAAUGAAUGACUGGCAUUGUAAUUGAGAGAAACACUCGUCUCAAAUUAUAAUAGACUUUUUACCAAUUUUUGAAGCAACAUUCUUAUUUAAAGAAUAUAAUAGUUAAUAGUGGAGCAGAAAAGGAGUGCCAUUCUAGAGACGGAAAUAGCUAAGUAAACCAAGAAUGUUUUGCAGCGGCCUGUUGCUGAGUUCAACCAUUAUACUUUGAAACAUCCUUUCUAGUGCAAAAUGCUGGAGCAGGAAAAAGCUUGCUGUCACUUGGUGAAUAAAUAAAAAAUAUAUUUCUCGAGCUACUGAAGCACUCUAGUUUUAAGUGAUUUAUACUCUGUUCAAAGUAGUACAUGUAUAUUCUUCUAUUUCUGGCAAAUUACCCGUUCAAUAUAUGCAUAUGCGGUCACUUCUUCCAUUGAGGCAACCUCUGCACCACUACCUGUACAUAUCAUCGAACUACCAUUGUAUGAGCGAGCGCUAAAAUUGCAGACAGACAGUUGUUCAUUUUUAGUUGUUUACCCACAUGUUUAGGACCUUGAGAUGAUAAUAACGUCUGACUUGAAUUUGUUGGGAAUAAAACCCCUACCAAAAUAAUAUUCACGGUAAUAAAAGCGGAAUAAUAAUGUA
Molecule: long non-coding RNA, 743 nt
Filed under: Nicotiana benthamiana
Lineage: Eukaryota; Viridiplantae; Streptophyta; Magnoliopsida; Solanales; Solanaceae
Description: long non-coding RNA (NBEN_LNC019947)
Source: RNAcentral